GAUGAACGCUGACAGAAUGCUUAACACAUGCCAGUCUACUUGAAUUUGGGUUUUUUAACUUAGAUUUGGGUGGCGGACGGGUGAGUAACGCGUAAAGAACUUGCCUCACAGCUAGGGACAACAUUUGGAAACGAAUGCUAAUACCUGAUAUUAUGAUUAUAAGGCAUCUUAGAAUUAUGAAAGCUAUAUGCGCUGUGAGAGAGCUUUGCGUCCCAUUAGCUAGUUGGAGAGGUAACGGCUCACCUAGGCGAUGAUGGGUAGCCGGCCUGAGAGGGUGAACGGCCACAAGGGGACUGAGACACGGCCCUUACUCCUACGGGAGGCAGCAGUGGGGAAUAUUGGACAAUGGACCAAGAGUCUGAUCCAGCAAUUCUGUGUGCACGAUGACGUUUUUCGGAAUGUAAAGUGCUUUCAGUUGGGAAGAAAAAAAUGACGGUACCAACAGAAGAAGUGACGGCUAAAUACGUG
Molecule: ribosomal RNA, 468 nt
Filed under: uncultured bacterium
Lineage: Bacteria
Description: partial 16S ribosomal RNA
Rfam family: Bacterial small subunit ribosomal RNA
Source: RNAcentral